CGAGUGCGUAAUGAAGGGCUCGAGACUUAAUUUUUUAUACAGCCUAUCAAUCUUUCCUUCAUCUUUUUCUUGAUGGAAAAGGAGUAUAAUACACUUGAGCAGCCUGUGCAGCUAGUAUAAAUAGCUCGUUGACAUAAGUUUUUUAUCCAUGUUUGAUUUCAAUAAGCCCACACUGUGGAUCAAUCUUCGUACCAUUAUCGGUAUCAAACUAUUGAUACUUAAAUAGAAUGAC
Molecule: long non-coding RNA, 232 nt
Filed under: Elaeis guineensis (African oil palm)
Lineage: Eukaryota; Viridiplantae; Streptophyta; Magnoliopsida; Arecales; Arecaceae
Description: long non-coding RNA (EGUI_LNC036688)
Source: RNAcentral